GGAAAACCGCUACGUAGAAAUGUAGCCCAACAGCGAAGCCCACGAAGGUCUGGCCCAGGCCUAGAAACUUUGAGCCCAGCCCAGAUUCAGUGGAAAACACCAGAAUCAAGUACAUUAACAGCAACAACAGAUACAACACGUAGCCAAGGGUUUGCAGAACCAUUAAACAGACGUACAUGGGUUGCGAAGUAGCGUAGAAAAACCUCAAAGGCUCCAGCCCAGUAACUAGAGAAGAGAGACAAAGAAUGAAGAAGUAAAUUGAGAGAUAAACUUGAAUGAAGAUGACGAUCUUUUGGAUAGAGAAAUAAGCUUGAUGCGGCUGACGAUUAAAGAAACUAGAAGGAGAGGUAUUAAAAUGAAAGCGAAACAGACUACAGUGGCAAUGGUGGAUGCAUAUCUGUUUCCAACUAUGGGCUUGAACCCUUUGGCCAUUUCUUUGUUGGCUUUUGUGAGGUAUUUUUUGGAGGUUAUUGAGAUCUUCUCAAUGUCUGGCAGGAGAGAUUGUUGAAAUUUGGAUGGUAGAGCUCUGAACUCAGCGACCAAAUCAUCCUCCCCUUCUUGAUCAACCCAACUGGGUUGUUUUUGUGCCUGCUGGGUGGUGGUCUUCUUCUCGUUAUUGGGUUUUUUCUCUGCGGUUUUUAAUGGGCUCUUGGUUUGUUUUUGGGAUUCAGAAUCACUCACAAGAAUUUGGGAUCCUUUUGUUGAAGUGGGUUUGGAUGUUUUGUUCUUGGGGGAGCCUAAUUUGAGUAGAUCUGAGGUUUUUUUAGUAGAGCCGGAGCUGGUUUUGGUAGAGUUGUAAGCUUUUGACGUGGAAUUGAGCUUCUUAAGCUGGGAAGUGGAAUUGAGCUUUUUAAGCUCAGCCUUGGAUAAGGAGUAAAAAGCUGCUUUAGUUGAAUUUGUAAAUUUUGUAAUCUUGGUUUGGUUCUUAGUAGAUAAGCUAGUCUUAGAGAGCUUAGUUUGGUUUUUUGAAGAGGAAAGAUUGGUUUUGAUUAGCUUGGUUUGGUUCUUGGUAGAAGAAUUGGUACUUUUUUU
This 1032-nucleotide unclassified non-coding RNA is filed under the name Hevea brasiliensis (rubber tree). Lineage: Eukaryota; Viridiplantae; Streptophyta; Magnoliopsida; Malpighiales; Euphorbiaceae. The record is from RNAcentral.